Tupaia belangeri (northern tree shrew) is the source of this 104-nucleotide small nucleolar RNA. Lineage: Eukaryota; Metazoa; Chordata; Mammalia; Scandentia; Tupaiidae. The record is from Ensembl.
AUUUUUUUGUGGUUCAUAAGAGUCAUGACUGGCUUUUUACAUUGUUGUGCAGCAUGUUCCUCCCUUGGACCUUAUUAGGACAUUGGCUAAGUACCCAUCUGAUG